Small nuclear RNA from Marmota marmota marmota (Alpine marmot), 137 nucleotides. Its record names the gene U1. It matches the Rfam family "U1 spliceosomal RNA". Rfam says of the family: U1 is a small nuclear RNA (snRNA) component of the spliceosome (involved in pre-mRNA splicing). Its 5' end forms complementary base pairs with the 5' splice junction, thus defining the 5' donor site of an intron. There are significant differences in sequence and secondary structure between metazoan and yeast U1 snRNAs, the latter being much longer (568 nucleotides as compared to 164 nucleotides in human). The record is from Ensembl. Lineage: Eukaryota; Metazoa; Chordata; Mammalia; Rodentia; Sciuridae.
GUACUUACCUGGCAGGGGAGACACCAUGAUCACCAAGGUGGUUUUUCCAGGGCAAGGCUUAUCCAUUGCACUAAGGAUGUGCUGACCCUUGCAAUUUCCCCCAAAUGUGGGCAUCUCAGCUGCAUAACUUUUGAGGU